Molecule: unclassified non-coding RNA, 346 nt
Filed under: soil metagenome
Description: partial contains 5.8S ribosomal RNA, internal transcribed spacer 2, and large subunit ribosomal RNA
Rfam family: 5.8S ribosomal RNA (bases 1-121)
Source: RNAcentral
GAUGAAGAACGGCGGCGAAAUGCGAUACGUAAUGUGAAUUGCAGAAUUCAGUGAAUCAUCGAGUCUUUGAACGCACAUUGCGCCCCCUGGUAUUCCGGGGGGCAUGCCUGUCCGAGCGUCAUUGCUGCCCUCAAGCACGGCUUGUGUGUUGGGCCUCCGUCCUCCUCCCGGGGGACGGGCCCGAAAGGCAGCGGCGGCACCGCGUCCGGUCCUCGAGCGUAUGGGGCUUCGUCACCCGCUCUUGUAGGCCCGGCCGGCGCUUGCCGACACAUCAAUCUUUUUUCCAGGUUGACCUCGGAUCAGGUAGGGAUACCCGCUGAACUUAAGCAUAUCAAUAAGCGGAGGA